Molecule: ribosomal RNA, 515 nt
Filed under: Staphylococcus sp.
Lineage: Bacteria; Bacillati; Bacillota; Bacilli; Caryophanales; Staphylococcaceae
Description: bacterial SSU rRNA
Rfam family: Bacterial small subunit ribosomal RNA
Source: RNAcentral
GCUUGCUCCUUUGACGUUAGCGGCGGACGGGUGAGUAACACGUGGGUAACCUACCUAUAAGACUGGGAUAACUUCGGGAAACCGGAGCUAAUACCGGAUAAUAUUUCGAACCGCAUGGUUCGAUAGUGAAAGAUGGCUCUGCUAUCACUUAUAGAUGGACCUGCGCCGUAUUAGCUAGUUGGUAAGGUAACGGCUUACCAAGGCAACGAUACGUAGCCGACCUGAGAGGGUGAUCGGCCACACUGGAACUGAGACACGGUCCAGACUCCUACGGGAGGCAGCAGUAGGGAAUCUUCCGCAAUGGGCGAAAGCCUGACGGAGCAACGCCGCGUGAGUGAUGAAGGUCUUCGGAUCGUAAAACUCUGUUAUUAGGGAAGAACAAACGUGUAAGUAACUGUGCACGUCUUGACGGUACCUAAUCAGAAAGCCACGGCUAACUACGUGCCAGCAGCCGCGGUAAUACGUAGGUGGCAAGCGUUAUCCGGAAUUAUUGGGCGUAAAGCGCGCGUAGGCGG